Molecule: transfer RNA, 68 nt
Filed under: Marmota monax (woodchuck)
Lineage: Eukaryota; Metazoa; Chordata; Mammalia; Rodentia; Sciuridae
Description: tRNA.Ser
Rfam family: tRNA (bases 5-65)
About the family: Transfer RNA (tRNA) molecules are approximately 80 nucleotides in length. Their secondary structure includes four short double-helical elements and three loops (D, anti-codon, and T loops).
Source: RNAcentral
GGAUUGUGGCUCAGUGGUAGAGUGCCUGCCUUGAAUGUGUGAGGCUCUGAGUUUGAUCCUCAGCACCA